GACGAACGCUGGCGGCGUGCCUAAUACAUGCAAGUUGAGCGCUGAAGGUUGGUACUUGUACCAACUGGAUGAGCAGCGAACGGGUGAGUAACGCGUGGGGAAUCUGCCUUUGAGCGGGGGACAACAUUUGGAAACGAAUGCUAAUACCGCAUAAAAACUUUAAACACAAGUUUUAAGUUUGAAAGAUGCAAUUGCAUCACUCAAAGAUGAUCCCGCGUUGUAUUAGCUAGUUGGUGAGGUAAAGGCUCACCAAGGCGAUGAUACAUAGCCGACCUGAGAGGGUGAUCGGCCACAUUGGGACUGAGACACGGCCCAAACUCCUACGGGAGGCAGCAGUAGGGAAUCUUCGGCAAUGGACGAAAGUCUGACCGAGCAACGCCGCGUGAGUGAAGAAGGUUUUCGAAUCGUAAAACUCUGUUGGUAGAGAAGAACGUUGGUGAGAGUGGAAAGCUCAUCAAGUGACGGUAACUACCCAGAAGGGGACGGCUAACUACGUG
Molecule: ribosomal RNA, 497 nt
Filed under: uncultured bacterium
Lineage: Bacteria
Description: partial 16S ribosomal RNA
Rfam family: Bacterial small subunit ribosomal RNA
Source: RNAcentral